UUAAGUGUUUACCAUAUCUUCUUCUACUUCCCGAGCCGGAACAAACUACUAAAGCUCAAAUUGAUUCAGUGGCAUAUAUGCAGCUUAAUUAGAUUAUAAAUCCAGAAAAUUAGUCUAGUGGUUAUAGGUUGAGAUUCUUUCUUGUCUUCUGUGAGUAGGGUUUUUUUUUAUGGUUUGUGGUUGGAUCGUGGUGUUGGUUGGAUUAUUUAGGAUUUCGAAGAUGGAUGCUUGCGGUGUUUGUUGUGGCCGAAGUGUUGUUGGUGCCUUGGUGGUCAAUGAAAGGAUCUGUUUCAGUCAUCUUUGCUGGGUUUUCUCCUCGAAAAUCAUUAUAUCUUUUCCAAUUUUAAAAUCUGAUUUUCAUGUGAUGUGAUUUCUUGGUCGGAUUUCGAUCUAGAGUGCUUUUGGUUGAUGCCUUGAUGGUUAUUUUCAGAUCUGAUCAUCUCUUUAUCUGAUCUAAAAUAGGUCUUGCCAAAUAGGUGGUUUCGAUUCUCGGAAGGGGCUAUUGAGAUCCGUGUGUUUGUUUUAGUCUGAUUUCUAUGUUGUAUUUAAUGUUUUUAUUUUGUGUUCAUGCUCAGAUUAAGAAUGAUUGUAUAUGUUAUCUCCCCUUUUGUUUAUUGUUUAUUGUUUUGGUUUGGGGUGUUCUCUCUGCCGGAAUUAUUGGUUCUUGUCGCAUUGUUUUGGGUUUAAUUCUGGUGGAUUGGUUUAUUCAUUUUUAUCUAUCCUAGAUUUUUUCGUUGCCCUACUUAUCUUUUUCUCAGUUCAAAAUGGUUUCAAUGAUGGUACUGUUUAUUAGUACUGAUUUAGGAUUUAAUUGUGUUGGUUCGGACUCCCUUGUUGAUGACUAUUUACUGGUGGGUUUCGCUGAAUUUUUGAGAGUUUAUGCCGGAGAUUGACCGACAUCUAUGGUAUCAGUUCCAUACAUGCUACUAAAGCUCAAGUUGAUUCAGUCCAAGAUCACAAACUCUAACCCAACUAAUUUGGGAUUUUUAUCUGAUAACCAACACGAGUAAAUAACCGAUAUAUAAUUAAUGCAAAUUUGAUAUAAAUGUAAAUUACCAAAAAUAUCUUUGAAUAAUAAACAUUACAGGCUUAGCCGAUCACUUUUGAUCGAUUAACAGAAG
RNAcentral lists this long non-coding RNA (1121 nucleotides) under Panax ginseng (ginseng). Its description in RNAcentral is "long non-coding RNA (PGIN_LNC008541)". The record is from RNAcentral. Lineage: Eukaryota; Viridiplantae; Streptophyta; Magnoliopsida; Apiales; Araliaceae.